This 524-nucleotide unclassified non-coding RNA is filed under the name Hevea brasiliensis (rubber tree). Lineage: Eukaryota; Viridiplantae; Streptophyta; Magnoliopsida; Malpighiales; Euphorbiaceae. The record is from RNAcentral.
CCCUUGUGCAGGACAAACUGUUGAAAAAGCCUAUCCAACCAUGGUGCGCUUUCGACCCCUUUGGCGAACUUGGGCUAGCUUGUUCAUUGUGGAUGACCAUUGCUUUGAGGAUUUCCUAUAUGCAGCAAGCACACGAUCCAUCACAUUCCCACAUGAAGAAUGCAUUGAAAGCAAGGCUCGUUCCAGUACAUACAAAUCAACUGCCUUGUCUUCAGGAAGGCUUGAUGUGAAGCUCAGACCAAAAUCAAUAAGGACCACUUGAUUAGUGCCAUUCCGGAUUAACAUGUUUGAUGUGGUCAAGUCACCAUGAAUGAGGCCACCAUCAUGUAGUUUUCCAAUUGCAUCACCAAUCUGUGUUGCAAUAUCAUCCAUGCGUUCUUCCACAACACCAUGUAACCCAAAUUCAAGAAAGACAUCUUUCACAGAAUGACCCUCCACAUACUCAAAUGUGAGGGUAUGCAGUAAAGGAUCCACAGCGUACAGCACUGGAGUAGAAACCCCAAGUCGCCUUGCCUUUGUCAUGC